UAGGGAAUCUUCGGCAAUGGACGGAANNNUGGACCGAGCAACCNCGCGUGAGUGAAGAAGGUUUUCGGAUCGUAAAGCUCUGUUGUAAGAGAAGAACGAGUGUGAGAGUGGAAAGUUCACACUGUGACGGUAUCUUACCAGAAAGGGACGGCUAACUACGUGCCAGCAGCCGCGGUAAUACGUAGGUCCCGAGCGUUGUCCGGAUUUAUUGGGCGUAAAGCGAGCGCAGGCGGUUAGAUAAGUCUGAAGUUAAAGGCUGUGGCUUAACCAUAGUACGCUUUGGAAACUGUUUAACUUGAGUGCAAGAGGGGAGAGUGGAAUUCCAUGUGUAGCGGUGAAAUGCGUAGAUAUAUGGAGGAACACCGGUGGCGAAAGNGGCUCUCUGGCUUGUAACUGACGCUGAGGCUCGAAAGCGUGGGGAGCAAACAGGAUUAGAUACCCUGGUAGUCCACGCCGUAAACGAUGAGUGCUAGGUGUUAGACCCUUUCCGGGGUUUAGUGCCGCAGCUAACGCAUUAAGCACUCCGCCUGGGGAGUACGACCGCAAGGUUG
RNAcentral lists this ribosomal RNA (551 nucleotides) under uncultured bacterium. RNAcentral describes it as "bacterial SSU rRNA". It matches the Rfam family "Bacterial small subunit ribosomal RNA", at positions 355 to 896 of the family's 1533-position model. The record is from RNAcentral.